This 1235-nucleotide ribosomal RNA is filed under the name Escherichia coli. RNAcentral describes it as "partial 23S ribosomal RNA". It matches the Rfam family "Bacterial large subunit ribosomal RNA", at positions 1 to 1268 of the family's 2925-position model. Lineage: Bacteria; Pseudomonadati; Pseudomonadota; Gammaproteobacteria; Enterobacterales; Enterobacteriaceae. The record is from RNAcentral.
GGGUUGUGAGGUUAAGCGACUAAGCGUACACGGUGGAUGCCCUGGCAGUCAGAGGCGAUGAAGGACGUGCUAAUCUGCGAUAAGCGUCGGUAAGGUGAUAUGAACCGUUAUAACCGGCGAUUUCCGAAUGGGGAAACCCAGUGUGAUUCGUCACACUAUCAUUAACUGAAUCCAUAGGUUAAUGAGGCGAACCGGGGGAACUGAAACAUCUAAGUACCCCGAGGAAAAGAAAUCAACCGAGAUUCCCCCAGUAGCGGCGAGCGAACGGGGAGGAGCCCAGAGCCUGAAUCAGUGUGUGUGUUAGUGGAAGCGUCUGGAAAGGCGCGCGAUACAGGGUGACAGCCCCGUACACAAAAAUGCACAUACUGUGAGCUCGAUGAGUAGGGCGGGACACGUGGUAUCCUGUCUGAAUAUGGGGGGACCAUCCUCCAAGGCUAAAUACUCCUGACUGACCGAUAGUGAACCAGUACCGUGAGGGAAAGGCGAAAAGAACCCCGGCGAGGGGAGUGAAAAAGAACCUGAAACCGUGUACGUACAAGCAGUGGGAGCCUCUUUAUGGGGUGACUGCGUACCUUUUGUAUAAUGGGUCAGCGACUUAUAUUCUGUAGCAAGGUUAACCGAAUAGGGGAGCCGAAGGGAAACCGAGUCUUAACUGGGCGUUAAGUUGCAGGGUAUAGACCCGAAACCCGGUGAUCUAGCCAUGGGCAGGUUGAAGGUUGGGUAACACUAACUGGAGGACCGAACCGACUAAUGUUGAAAAAUUAGCGGAUGACUUGUGGCUGGGGGUGAAAGGCCAAUCAAACCGGGAGAUAGCUGGUUCUCCCCGAAAGCUAUUUAGGUAGCGCCUCGUGAAUUCAUCUCCGGGGGUAGAGCACUGUUUCGGCAAGGGGGUCAUCCCGACUUACCAACCCGAUGCAAACUGCGAAUACCGGAGAAUGUUAUCACGGGAGACACACGGCGGGUGCUAACGUCCGUCGUGAAGAGGGAAACAACCCAGACCGCCAGCUAAGGUCCCAAAGUCAUGGUUAAGUGGGAAACGAUGUGGGAAGGCCCAGACAGCCAGGAUGUUGGCUUAGAAGCAGCCAUCAUUUAAAGAAAGCGUAAUAGCUCACUGGUCGAGUCGGCCUGCGCGGAAGAUGUAACGGGGCUAAACCAUGCACCGAAGCUGCGGCAGCGACACUAUGUGUUGUUGGGUAGGGGAGCGUUCUGUAAGCCUGUGAAGGUGUACUGUGAGG